RNAcentral lists this ribosomal RNA (526 nucleotides) under uncultured bacterium. Its description in RNAcentral is "bacterial SSU rRNA". It matches the Rfam family "Bacterial small subunit ribosomal RNA", at positions 986 to 1509 of the family's 1533-position model. The record is from RNAcentral.
AUCCAGAGAACUUAGCAGAGAUGGCUUUUGGGUGCCUUCGGGAACUCUGAGACAGGUGCUGCAUGGCUGUCGUCAGCUCGUGUUGUGAAAUGUUGGGUUAAGUCCCGNAACGAGCGCAACCCUUAUCCUUUGUUGCCAGCGGUUCGGCCGGGAACUCAAAGGAGACUGCCGGUGAUAAACCGGAGGAAGGUGGGGAUGACGUCAAGUCAUCAUGGCCCUUACGGCCAGGGCUACACACGUGCUACAAUGGCGCAUACAAAGAGAAGCGACCUCGCGAGAGCAAGCGGACCUCAUAAAGUGCGUCGUAGUCCGGAUUGGAGUCUGCAACUCGACUCCAUGAAGUCGGAAUCGCUAGUAAUCGUAGAUCAGAAUGCUACGGUGAAUACGUUCCCGGGCCUUGUACACACCGCCCGUCACACCAUGGGAGUGGGUUGCAAAAGAAGUAGGUAGCUUAACCUUCGGGAGGGCGCUUACCACUUUGUGAUUCAUGACUGGGGUGAAGUCGUAACAAGGUAGGCGUAGCGAG